CCACGUCUCGCCUAGCUCGACACCUUCGCCUCGGUACCUCAGACGCCGCCGCUCGCGGAAGGACUCCUCGCACUACCCCUCCGAGAAGGUCCACGACCUCUUCCUCAUGUUGUUCGUCUUCCCGGAGGCCGUCCUCUGGAGAGGUAGGUCGUCCUGCAGGCGUACUAGCGGCGGCGGUACCUGCUGGCGGAGGUGCGGGACCCGGCACCGCUCGCGGCGUGGCGGCAGCGGUCCGACAUGUCGCUCCUCUACGAGCCGGACCGCGUGCUGCGGGUCCUGACGUAGCUGGCGUAGCAGGUGGCGGAGUGGACGUCCGGGGCGCAACCGCCGCCGCCUCCGCCCCCUCCUCGCCGCGACUAGGCGGCCCAGCGGCGGCAGCGGGUGCUCGACUCCUUCCAUGUCUCGGCGAGCCCGAAGCGGCUGCUCUACGCGUUCGAGUUCCGGGCGGAGUUCGUCCGAGUACUCGCGCAGCAGUCGUAGGGGUAGCGGCGGCGGCGGCGGUCGACGACGGUGCUCGCGGGCCGCCAUCGGGGCUGAACAGCGCAGCGCGCGUUGGGCCACCCGUAGCCCUCCGGCCACCUCCUCGAGGAGAGCGACGACCUGCUCCACCUCCCCCUCGGCCUCGUCGACUCCCACUAGAGGCAUCACCCCAAGCCGCCGAACCCCUUUUGGUGCGAGCGGUCCCUCCACAUGUUCCGGGCAGUGCGGCACCUCUUUAAGGUGACGGCACGAACCCAAAGGCGGCCAGCCACCAGCGGUCUCCAGUGGCCGUUGCCCCAGUCACUCUAGGACGCGCUACAUGAGGUCGUUCAAGCGGGGUUUCUGCGGUACCUACAACAACAACGACUACUACCGGUUGCAUAACUUCGGAACGAGUUCCUUAUGGAGUGCCUAUUCUCCAUAAAUUAACAGUAUCUACUGUAACCCUACCUCGUUACCUCGUGAUAUUUAAGGUAAAAACUUUUGUUACCGUUUUCGUCGUCUUAGGAUGACUGGUGUUGAUAAGUCAGUUGUCGAUUAUAGACGUCGGUACCGUUACCAAUACACAUGGUUUACUUGUGUGAACCACUUCUCCUGAGGUUCUUUUAUCGAGAAGUCCUCCAUGGCAGCGGACUCGACCUCGUCCCCAGGUACUGCGACGACGUCUUUACACCACCAGAAGGUGAACGAGAGCAGUCACAGAGGCUAAAGGACUUUACGAGUCCACUCGGAUGUCCCCUCGCUACGCGUCUCGAUACGGCAUUGGACCCAAGAGUAGACUCUCUCUUCGUACCGGUACUGUUAAAGUGCCUUGAUUCUUUCCACGACUACGUAUUGAUACUGUCAAACAGACACAUACGAUACUGGACGAACGAUAUAGAACCACAUAAGGGUUUGUUGGCAGGGGAGUUCUCCUUUCAACAAUAGUCCUCCACCAAUCGGCUUCCUAUACGUGCCUCACUAAGAGAAGCGUCACUCCUCCUGUAACGCCUACUCUGAAAGUUCCGCGAACAACUGGCCUUAUAGUAUGUCAGGUAACUAUGUUCCUUAUUACGCGUUCACUUCUGCACGUACUGAGUACCGUAGUACGUGCUCAAACACGACGUGUUCAGACACAGUGUCCCCAAGUAGCGCUGUAGCAGAGCACUAGUAGGUUCUGGAGUACGGGUACAAUUAUUACGGACGGUGGAAAGAUAGGUACCACCGUUACACUGUCUAUUACUCCGGAGACUGUUCCUAAACAGAGCACAAGCCAGAGACUGUCAGAAACCUUUUCGUCCACUACGAUAAAGAAUACAGGCAUUCACGUUUGACGAUGCUCAGAACCUAGACCUUCUUACGUUACUGGACCUUCUGUCAGUGGAGUUUGUGUAUCCGUUCGAUACCGUAGACUUUAUAGAUUCACAACCCCCGUGCUAACGCUUCGAAGGCUCGUCAUAACUACCUGACGUAUCGAACCUCUGGGAUCUAAACUCCUCUUGGUUCUAUUUCUGAAACGGGUAACUCCGGUAAUACGACAUGGUGAAUCGGGUAGACAAGCCUUUCAAAUGUCAACUGUUUCUUCUAGAUUUGUUACGUUUGUUUUACUCGUUUCGUUACUUCAAGAACAGGCCUUUGUUCUCGUUGGACUUCUGAAAUCGACCUAAACGGUGUUUGCUCUCCGUUCCCAAAGAAGUUGAAUACCAAGUGUACUCUUUAGACUCUUUCCAGUUCUAUACCACACCCGGUCAACGUUUACCUUCAUUGAUGUGGUUACUAGAAAGGUUCCGGUAAGUCCUUAAGUGGUUCCAGGGGUACCUGUUACACCCACGGGCAAGAGAUAGUGAACUAAGUCUUCUUACAAGGCUUCUGAACGACUCAAGCGAACGAAAACUCGGUACGGGGCUUCUAAGGUUUAUACUACAUUCCAGUGACUUCGAUGCACCGUUCGAUAAGGUCAAUGGGGGUAAACAAGGGAACGACAGUCCAGAGUGACUUGACACAUAAAGUAGUCGAUGAGACUGUGCCCUAGAAGAUAACAGAGACUAGUUAAACUCUUUGAACGAAAUGGAGUUCAACUAACGCUUACUCGAACUCUUUAAACUUUACUUUAGUCCCCGUAAGGGUUCGGACGCCGCAGACACGAAACACCACGUUUCAGAGUGAAGUCGAGACGGUCGUUAGCUUGUACCUCGAGACGGUUUGGAACAGAGUGAGGUCGACGAAACGGACCCAGAUCGACCAAAAAGGUCGUAGGUUUAGUCUGUGGAGUCUGUAGAGUUCCUCCAGUGCCAGCUGAGACCUCACGGACUGGUUUGUUCUGUUCUGACCCUCGUGCGUUGUUUCUUGGUGGGCUUAUCCGGCUCUGAGCACAACGUGUUUUCACCACAAGCUUACCUUUCGCUCCCUGGCCCAUUACUUCUUCGAAGACGACACUCCCUCUUCGCCUUUUAUACACAUGAGGUUGGCUCAAACCUACUGCCUGACCUAAGAUCAGAGUUCUUCUACUUUGAAAGUAGUCUCAGAAGAAGCGCAGAAGUUCACUAGCAGGUAAGGUGAAGGAGUAGACCAGUGACUCCGUCUACCGUCACGAUGAAGUCACUUCGUUUGACGAUGCCACUACUAAGUCGAACAUGUGUGUUUAGUCUCUGUCUUAUCUACUACUCGACGACAACAUAACACACCACAAGACAACAAUGUUUCAAGUGGUACGACGUCUAACAUUUUAUUAGAAACAAAGGUACAGGCUAGGUGGUGAACGUUGACAUAUAAGUGCAGUACGUUCUUUGCCUCGUCCCGCUUUCGAUCGUGAUGCAGCUGACAAGAAGUCUUCGAUUGUUUGUCGACGAACGACCAAUUCGGGCUGCGGGUGGUACGACGGGACGUGCCGCAGCGCUGCCUCGAGUACUUGCGGGAGUACUGAAGACACCUCCGUAGAGAGAUCUCGUUCGUGUACCGCAUAAGGUACUGUCGCCGUAACGUCCCGUCGUACCAGGAGGACAGUAGCGGCGGAUGUUUCGGUUUGAGGAGGACCCUGUAGCAGUCUUCGAGCGACUUCUAGUUACACGACUCCAUACGAUCGCCGUGGAGCUUGGCGCGGGACAGUCGCCACAUGUUUUGUGUCACCGGGAAGUAGCGGUGACUGCCGCUACACCGUGUCGUGAGCAGUAACCGACGAGGAAAGCGGUGACAGCACCAGACCCACAUCACCACGACGAAAUCGAACAUGAAAGACCUACUUGAGUUCACUACCACCACGAUUCGACUACUUAAAUAUCCACUCCCUAUUUCCUUUCUCUUGUUACGUCAAAUCCAGGUCGAUAGUACUGUUCAACCCUUCGGUACUCGAGUCUCGUACGUUACGACAUUCACGUUCCCGUUCAUCACACUAGAACUAAUCUAAGAGACCCCGGUAGACAAACGGUGAACAACCCCUGCUACGAAAACCCGUACGAACCUGUUAUGUCAUACGACGGUAUGAGUGGACAAAAUCACCGUUGGAUUCUUCGUAUAUUGCCUUACACCCCUGGUACACAUCUAACACAGUACUAGACAAACACUAACACGUUACUCUAUGGUUGAUUAAUAAUAAAAACCCACGAACCAUUAUAGUAUUACUAUUCUUCAUGUUAUACAUCACCAGGGAAUUUUCUUCA
This 4115-nucleotide ribosomal RNA is filed under the name Triticum aestivum (bread wheat). RNAcentral's name for it is "partial small subunit ribosomal RNA". Lineage: Eukaryota; Viridiplantae; Streptophyta; Magnoliopsida; Poales; Poaceae. The record is from RNAcentral.